Molecule: ribosomal RNA, 122 nt
Organism: Carlito syrichta (Philippine tarsier)
Lineage: Eukaryota; Metazoa; Chordata; Mammalia; Primates; Tarsiidae
Source: Ensembl
AUCUAUGACCACAUCACCCUGAACGCUCCUGAUCUCAUCUAAUCUCAGAAGCUAAGCAAGGUUGGGACUGGUUAGUCCUUGGAUGAGAAACAGCCUGGGAAUAAAAUGAUACAUUUUAGAAA